CUUUUAGACCUUCCUGGAGGAGCUUGCUAUCCAACCGAUAACCCCCGUCACACCUCACCAACUUUUGAACACCCAGCCUGUAUACCAUCGUCGUCAGCCUACCUCUCAAGAGAAGUACACAAAAAGAACUCUUCUUCCCUACGUCAGAUCGAGGUGCAGCUAAUAAGUUGGGGAUUAGUGAGCUACAAUAUUUCAACAAAUCAAACUAAAAAAGAUUAUGAAUAGACCUUCUAAAACAGUCCUGAAACAGGAUUCAGUAGUAAUAGUUACCAGAAAAUAACUAUGAACUUAAAGCUCUAAAAUGCGC
RNAcentral lists this ribosomal RNA (307 nucleotides) under Zoroaster spinulosus. RNAcentral describes it as "partial 12S ribosomal RNA". Lineage: Eukaryota; Metazoa; Echinodermata; Asteroidea; Forcipulatida; Zoroasteridae. The record is from RNAcentral.